Molecule: ribosomal RNA, 459 nt
Filed under: uncultured bacterium
Lineage: Bacteria
Description: partial 16S ribosomal RNA
Rfam family: Bacterial small subunit ribosomal RNA
Source: RNAcentral
CCUACGGGAGGCAGCAGUGAGGAAUAUUGGUCAAUGGGCGCGAGCCUGAACCAGCCAAGUCGCGUGAGGGAAGACGGCCCUAUGGAUUGUAAACCUCUUUUGUCGGGGAAGAAAAGACGCUACGCGUAGCGUUCCGACAGUACCCGAAGAAAAAGCAUCGGCUAACUCCGUGCCAGCAGCCGCGGUAAUACGGAGGAUGCGAGCGUUAUCCGGAUUUAUUGGGUUUAAAGGGUGCGAAGGCGGACGGUCAAGUCAGUGGUAAAAUGUCGAGGCUAAACCGCGGAGUGCCAUUGAAACUGGGUGGCUCGAGUGCGGACGAGGUAAGGGGAAUACGUGGAGUAGCGGUGAAAUGCUUAGAUAUGACUCAGAACUCCGAUAGCGAAGGCAGCUUACCGGGCCGAGACUGACGCUGAGGCACGAGAGCGUGGGUAGCGAACAGGAUUAGAUACCCCAGUAGUC